GCUAGCAUAGCUUAAUUAAAGCAUAACACUGAAGAUGUUAAGAUGGGCCCUAAAAAGCCCUGCCCGCA
RNAcentral lists this transfer RNA (68 nucleotides) under Sebastes reedi (yellowmouth rockfish). RNAcentral's name for it is "tRNA-Phe". It matches the Rfam family "tRNA". From Rfam's summary of the family: Transfer RNA (tRNA) molecules are approximately 80 nucleotides in length. Their secondary structure includes four short double-helical elements and three loops (D, anti-codon, and T loops). Lineage: Eukaryota; Metazoa; Chordata; Actinopteri; Perciformes; Sebastidae. The record is from RNAcentral.